AUGAUUUGUCUAACGUUGUUAAAGCCACAGCUCAGUCACUCUCUUAAAUUCUGUGCUCUUGCCUCUACUCCCCAGCUUCACCUACCCCCAACCACAAUGGCUGAUGUGCAAAGGAGAAGUGGAAGGAGGAUCACCUUUUUCAUCUCAUGCUCAGAUGAGGAUCAGAGGCAGCUGCAGCCCUGGAUUACAGGCCAGGGGACCACUUCUUCUGGCCUCCUUCCUGUGCUCCUCCUUUCAGAUCAACUCUUCACCCUAAUUGGCUGUAUGGCAGUGGCAGAAGCAGUGGGUCGCCAAAGUGGCUGGGAAGAUGGCAUUGUGCCUAGUAGCAAUGUCAGCCAGCCUGGGGAUCAUGAUCCCAGAGGCAGGAGAACCAGGGAGCCAGUGGAACUGAGAGGUGCUGCCCCCACCUGUUCUGACUGUCCCUCCAUGGCUUGUCAGCCAUCCAGCACCUCUAAUCAUGCUGUAGUUUGCAGCGCCACCUGCCUGUGGCCAAGCAAACUGCAGUGUGACAGCACACCUGCAUCUUUAUUAUAUGUAUUAGGGGCUGCACUCCUGCUCCCUUUGCUUGUUAACCCCACCUAUCCCCACAACCUCCCUCCCCAAAGCCACCCACCCCCACCAUUUACUCCUUGUCAAAACCACUCACCCCAUCCCUUUCCACCUUGCCAAGGCCACCAGGACCCCAUACAGCUUGCCCAAACUACCCCACCCUGUUAGACCUUGCCAAACCCCGCCCACCUGCUCACUGCCACCUACCUACUUGGCCACUUUCCCACAAACUCACCUGCCUGUCUCCCUCUGCAGUUCCUUCUGCCUCACCCUUUGAUGGUGCUGUGAUGGCCCAGAAGCUCUGACAGCCCCAUUUGUCAUCCUGCUGUAGUUCACAGCAGUACCUGUCUGUGACUAAACAAAUUCAGUGUGACAACAUUCUUACAUUUUUAUUAUAUUUAUAGCAAGACAGGUAGGUAAAAAGGGCAUGUAACAAAGCUUACAUAUUGGUCUGCUGAACACCAAGGAUAGUCAGUGAAGUGCCCUGCAGAUGUUUCAGGACUGCAACUCCCAUCAUCCAUGACCACUGGCAAUGCUGGCUUGGGGCUGACAGGAGUGUAGUCCAGCAACAUCUGGAGGGCCCCAUGUUGACUACCUCUCCUCUACACUGACUGGCAGUGGCUUUCCAGGAUUUCUGACAAAGGCUUUUCCCAACCCAGGCUUGAAAUGCUGGGGAAUAAAUGUGCCAGGAAGGGAAUGCCUUCGGCAUGGAAAAUAUGUCCUCUGCCACUAAGUCUUGGAUUGGAGCCUCACACUCUGCUGACUCUGACCUCAAACAACACCCUUAAUGGUGUCCGGUGGAAGACGACAUAAUGCAACACACACAGAACCUACCGUGUAUAGUGUAACGGCCAGGCUGCUGCUAGUCAUACACAAGGAGGAAAGUUUAAAAGAAUUCACUUUUCAUCUAUUUCAGGAUAAAAACAUUAGCAAAAGGAUGAAAGCAAUUCCUAAUAACUUUUGGCAGUAUGGGGAUCCCUUUUCCACAUGGGAUUGGGACUCAAAGUGCACCUGCUUGGAAAUAAGUCCCAUGGAUGUUCCCUUUGAGCAAACCAGCUCAGGCCUGUAGUAUUUAGCAAUCUGGAAAGAUGGAAGAUAAUUUGAAAGAACAAAAAUAUUUAUGGCAUAAACAAUAACGGAUACUAUGCCAUUCUACAGAGCAUAAUAGAGUUUUAAUGUAUUCCUGCUGUCGGCAUUGUGUAUCUGAGUGAUAAUUUUAUGUGACAGUGUAAUUAAAUUGGAAAACAAUUCCCAUUUCCUAUGUCUUUUAUCUAUUUAUCAUCAUUUAUUUCUUUACUUUCACCCUCCACCAUAAAUAUUACUGUAAGAAGAGUUAAAUAAGUUAAACCAAUGCAAUUACUUUUACAGAUUGAAAUUAACUUCAUAUAUCAAUUUAUUCCAGUUUCCCUGCUAUUUGCCCUGCAUUUGUUGCAGUAUAUUUAUGGUGUCACUGCGUGGUUUCCAUGUUUGCAUUCACUUUUUGACGAAUGAUCUGUGUGUUAAAAGCUGACAUUUUAACAGUAUUUUCAAACAAUUUCAUUCAUUAUCAAAUAACCAUUUAUUAUACUGUGGCAAUUUCAAACCGUUUACUGGACUCCACUGCACAUUGCUAAACAAUGAUUAAUCAACCAGCAAGCAAAUUUUAAUGCUUAUCACAGCAAAUAGAGAAAGUAACAUUAAAUAGUGACUUGACUAGAGCUGGGUCUAAAUUAUUGUUAUUUUAUUUUAUAAUUAUUUUUGAUGAGUCAUUCAAUGCAAGCUCCUUUACAUAUGCUUUUCAAAAAACCAAGCUAGAUAAAGCGUUAGGUUAAGCAAGGCCCCAUCAGACUCAAGGCUCUGUUCUACUGCAUUUAUCUGAACUCUCUCUGUGUGGAAAGCGAGACUUAAGUCUACACCUUGCCUUCAACACCUUCAGAUGUUUUAUAUAUGCUUCAACCGUCCCAAUUAACUAUGAAUUGUCCAAUUGUCCUUAGUUUUCUGUCCUGGAUAAACCACAGCUGUGGGUUUGUGUGUAGGAGACAGGCAGAAAGAAAGAAAGAAAGAAAGAAAGAAAGAAAGAAAGAAAGAAAGAAAGAAAGAGGGGGGGUUAGGGGGCAGAAAGAUGCUGGGGAUUCAGCACCCUACACACACACACACACACACACACACAAUCCUCAAGAAGUGAAAUCUCUGGGCAAAACUGGAAGUGAAAGCGAUCAGCAUUUGUAUGAAUUCAUGUCUUGAGUAGCAGGUUAAACUGAUUUGUUUGCAGAGCAGCCUGAGUAGCAUCAACAGGAAUGCUAUUCCACAGAACAUGGGCAGCCACACUAAAAGCCCUCCCCGCUCUUAGUGAUUGCAGACCAAGGUCCUGAGAUCUUCGGAACUUGCAGGAGAGACACUCGCACAGACCACAGUGAUCUACUUGGUGUGUAAAGGAUAAGGGAGUCUCUCAAGUAACCUGGUCCUGAGCCUUUAUGUUAAUUCCAGAAACUUAGACUUGGCCCAAGAAUGGAUUUACAGCCAGUGGAAAUCCCACAAGCAAGUUGUUUUAUGCUGGGAGUGGUUUGCCCCCCCCCCCCGCAAGCCACUGAGUCACAGUGUUCUGUGCCUGCUCCAGCCUCUACACCAAACCCAAGGGUGGCCACCCCUCCAGCAUCUUGCAGAGAUACAACCAUGGUCCUGAGGUGUGAUGCUAACACCUCUGGUUGGUGAACUUGGAGGGCCUCUGCUAGGGACAACUGAUAAAACUAGUCUAGAUGGACAAGUAGUCCAAUUAAGGAUAAGAGCAGCUUUGUAUGCUCCUGUAAUCCCGCUUCAAAUUUGUCCUUUCAAUCAUCCUUUAAAUUUGUUCUUAUUGGUAGGAUGUGGGGUUUUGAAGCAUAAUUAGUAGAGACAAUAUGACCCUCCCUGUUGAUAGACACAAGCAAAACAGCACCCAGCUGACUGAGUAGAAAUGGGUUUCCCUUUUUAUGUCAAGGUUAAUGAGGAAUUACUCAUUGCUGCCUGGGAAUUGGCAAAGAGGGGGAUAAAGAGCUACUGAACUUAGGGUGAAAGACUCUGCAGCCACAGACUCUGUCCCCAGAAUGAGCCUAAAGCUUGGCUAUCAUUUCAUAAUUAGCCAUGUGUUUGUUGCAACACCAGAGUCCUUUACAAGCUUAACACAUUGCUAAUUACAUUAACUUUGCAUACAAAAGGAGCAUUGGGGAAGCCCAGAUGGGCACAAUGGUGGACCAAUUACAAGUCCCCACUGCAAUAUUUAGGGAAGCAACUCUCUGAUAGCUACAGAGAGCAUGAGGCCACUUUUAAAUUAAUGCAAACAUUCAGAAACACAAGAGAGACAAACAAACAUCACAUCAAUGACUGAAUAGGUGGAAGCGACACUAGACUAACAAGGAGGGGAUUGUGGCAGUUUAUUCUUGGGAAAAUAAAACCAGGGAAAGAGAAUAACAGGCAGUUUGUUGUAUAGUAACGCCUCGCUUUGGCCCACUUGGUCGCCCUAGUUCAUGGGAAGCCUGUCCCUGGACUGUAGCCCUUCUGUAUCAAAGUGGGGAGUUCCAAGAUGAAAAACUCCUCCAUAGACACACAAAAAUCCCCACACCUAGAAAACCAGCAGGAGAGGCAAAAGGAGCUUUAUCUAUGUGCAAAGAGGCAGGGAUUCCACCCCCUUCCCAGGAGCAUGGCUCCAUCCAUCAGCCAGAGGAAAUGCAGGAAAUUUGCUUCCUCCCUGCCUGCAAAAAAGAUCACUCCAAUUCCAACUGCCAGCUGCCAUAGAGCUGCAGAAGCGGAGGCACACACUAUCCUUUUCCUUUGACCAGGAUACCAAAGGCUGCCAGGAGGCAACCCAAUAUUUGCUUUCCUCUGCCCACUCAAUUCCUUUUGUGUCAUGCCUCUUAGCUUGUGAGCCUGCAGGCACAGGCUAUCUUGUAAUCAUAAAAUACACAUAUACAGCGUUUAGAAAAUUUUAGUGCUUUCUAAAAAAAAAUUAUAAUACACAGGAAUUAGAUAAUUAAGUGGCAGUUAUCAGUCAGGCUUGAUGAUUUCCAUUUCUCAUUUUGGUAAGAGUUACAAAAUUCAUGGAUCAGGGGAGUGCUGUGGAAAUACACUAUCUUGAUUUCAAAAAGGCUUUUGAAAGUCACCCAUUAUAUUCUUGCAAGAAAGCUGGUGAAAUGUGAGUUGAACGAGGUAACUGUUAGGUGGAUCUGUAGCUGGUUGGUAAAGGUAAAGAUAAAGGACCCCUGGACGGUUAAGUCCAGUCAAAGGUGGCUAUAGGGUAUGUUGCUCAUCAGGUCCAGGGAACCAAUGUUUGUCCACAGACAGCUUUCCAGAUCACGUGGCCAGCAUGACUAAACUGCUUCUGGUGCAACGGAACACUGUGAUGGAAGCCAGAGCACACCAAAACGCUGUUUACUUUCCUGCCGCCAGGGGCGCCGACUUAUAAAAAAUAUUGGGGGGGCCCAUACCGGGGUCCUGCCGCUGGUUCGCUCGGGUAGCCGGGAGAACGCAGUUCGAGGUGGCGGUGUUGGGGAGAGACCCUCGCUCAGGGCGCCACGAGACUUGGCGGCCGGCGGCCUAUCUGGGGGGUUUUGGAGCGUAUUUCGGCGGAGCGAUUGGGGAGGAGGGGGCUUGUUGCCGGAUUCUUCAGCUGGGCCGGAGAUCCGCUGCUGGGGGUCCCUGGGCCGAGUUGUGAGCACGGCCUGCUGAAGGGAGAUCCAGCCGAUUGCGCGACGGGGACGGCCGGGGCUCUCCGGCUAGGGCGCGCGGCUGGCUGGCUGGCUGGCUGGCUGGCUGGCUGGCAAGGGAGCAGGUGGGGAGGAGGCGGGGGUCCUAGUAUUGUUUGUAGUGGGAACACAUUAAUCCACUGCCCCAGGCUCAGAUGCUCUCCUGGGAUUCCUGAUUGGGGCUCAGCAGCUUCAUUCCUGUGUCUUUGCUGCUCAGAAUCACCUCCAUCCUGGAUGCUGCUAAAUAAGGGCUGUGAACUUGCAUAUUUGUUGAUAGGGCAUGAUAGAGAGGGAUUGGAGUCUGAAGGGCUCAGGCACUGU
RNAcentral lists this long non-coding RNA (5567 nucleotides) under Podarcis muralis (Common wall lizard). RNAcentral's name for it is "lncRNA (ENSPMRG00000021706.1)". Lineage: Eukaryota; Metazoa; Chordata; Lepidosauria; Squamata; Lacertidae. The record is from RNAcentral.